UCCGCCAGAGAACUACAAGUGAAAAACUUCAAACUCAAAGGACUUGGCGGUGUCCCAUACCGACCUAGAGGAGCCUGUCCUAUUAUCGAUACCCCCGGUCCAACUUAACCUCUACUAGCACCUUUCAGCCUAUAUACCGCCGUCGACAGUCUACCCCAUGAGGGCCUAACAGUAGACAUAAUAGCCAAUCCGCUAAUACGUCAGGUCAAGGUGUAGCACAUGUGAAGGAAGAGAUUGGCUACAUUUUUUACCUAAAAAAAUACGAAAUGCAACAUGAAACACUGCACGAAGGCGAAUUUAGUAGUAAGACUGAACAAGAGAGUUCAUCUUAACAACGCUCUGGGACGCGCACACACCGCCCGUCUCUCU
RNAcentral lists this ribosomal RNA (369 nucleotides) under Eremias lalezharica (Lalehzar racerunner). RNAcentral's name for it is "12S ribosomal RNA". It matches the Rfam family "Bacterial small subunit ribosomal RNA", at positions 868 to 1403 of the family's 1533-position model. Lineage: Eukaryota; Metazoa; Chordata; Lepidosauria; Squamata; Lacertidae. The record is from RNAcentral.